GGGAUUAUGGUGUAGUGGUUUAGCACACAGAAGUGGCAUUAGACCGUCACGACUGAGGCUGAGGUUCGAUUCCUUGCGAUUCCA
Non-coding RNA from Lophiotrema nucula, 84 nucleotides. NCBI's taxonomy places the organism in Eukaryota, Fungi, Ascomycota, Dothideomycetes, Pleosporales, Lophiotremataceae. The record is from the annotation of a GenBank genome assembly.